ACACGAGGGGACAUUGGCCAGCCAGGCGAGCCGGGGCUGAAAGGUGCCAGGGGAACUCGAGGCACACCAGGUCGGCCUGGAGUCAUGGGAAUAGAAGGCCAACCCGGACUGGCAGGAUACACAGGUCACCCUGGCAAGCCUGGGCCCAUUGGACCACCA
Long non-coding RNA from Seriola dumerili (greater amberjack), 159 nucleotides. RefSeq lists it as uncharacterized. The transcript has 3 exons. Lineage: Eukaryota; Metazoa; Chordata; Actinopteri; Carangiformes; Carangidae. The record is from RefSeq and is a predicted model, not a curated record.